This 210-nucleotide ribosomal RNA is filed under the name Escherichia sp. Its description in RNAcentral is "partial 16S ribosomal RNA". It matches the Rfam family "Bacterial small subunit ribosomal RNA", at positions 571 to 780 of the family's 1533-position model. Lineage: Bacteria; Pseudomonadati; Pseudomonadota; Gammaproteobacteria; Enterobacterales; Enterobacteriaceae. The record is from RNAcentral.
GCAGGCGGUUUGUUAAGUCAGAUGUGAAAUCCCCGGGCUCAACCUGGGAACUGCAUCUGAUACUGGCAAGCUUGAGUCUCGUAGAGGGGGGUAGAAUUCCAGGUGUAGCGGUGAAAUGCGUAGAGAUCUGGAGGAAUACCGGUGGCGAAGGCGGCCCCCUGGACGAAGACUGACGCUCAGGUGCGAAAGCGUGGGGAGCAAACAGGAUUA